UAAUGGCCUACCAAGACGACGACGGGUAGCUGGUCUUAGAGGACGAUCAGCAGGAUUGGGGACUGAGAUACGGCCCAGACUCCUACGGGGGGCAGCAAUUAGGAAUCUUGCGCAAUGGGGGAAACCCUGACGCAGCGACGCCGCGUGCGGGAUGAAGGCAUUCGUGUCGUAAACCGCUUUUACCAGGGAAGAAGAAUGUGACGGUACCUGGUGAAUAAGCCCCGGCUAACUACGUGCCAGCAGCCGCGGUAAUACGAAGGGGGCGAGCGUUGCUGGGAAUCACUGGGCGUAAAGGGUGCGUAGGCGGGUCUUUAAGUCAGGGGUGAAAUGCCAAGGCUCAUCCUUGGAACUGCCUUUGAUACUGGAGAUCUUGAGUCCGGGAGAGGUGAGUGGAACUGCGAGUGUAGAGGUGAAAUU
Molecule: ribosomal RNA, 417 nt
Filed under: uncultured soil bacterium
Lineage: Bacteria
Description: bacterial SSU rRNA
Rfam family: Bacterial small subunit ribosomal RNA
Source: RNAcentral